This 253-nucleotide ribosomal RNA is filed under the name uncultured bacterium. RNAcentral describes it as "partial 16S ribosomal RNA". It matches the Rfam family "Bacterial small subunit ribosomal RNA", at positions 524 to 776 of the family's 1533-position model. The record is from RNAcentral.
GACGUAGGGUGCGAGCGUUGUCCGGAUUUAUUGGGCGUAAAGAGCGUGUAGGCGGCCAGGUAGGUCUGCUGUGAAAACUCGAGGCUUAACCUCGAGCUGUCGGCGGAAACCAUCUGGCUAGAGUCCGGAAGAGGAGAAUGGAAUUCCCGGUGUAGCGGUGAAAUGCGCAGAUAUCGGGAAGAACACCCGUGGCGAAGGCGGUUCUCUGGGACGGUACUGACGCUGAGACGCGAAAGCGUGGGGAGCGAACAGG